RNAcentral lists this small RNA (1497 nucleotides) under Pongo abelii (Sumatran orangutan). Its description in RNAcentral is "retained intron". The record is from RNAcentral. Lineage: Eukaryota; Metazoa; Chordata; Mammalia; Primates; Hominidae.
GAUAACAUUUAGUAAUUUAGGAGAGAAAAUUAAAGGCAUUGUUGAAAAUAUGGGAAUCAAUGCAAAUAACAUGAGUGACUUUAUCAUGAAAGUCGAUGCCCUUAUGUCCUCUGUGCCUAAGCGUGCAUCUCAAUAUGAUGUCACAUUUCUUAGGGAGAAUCACAGUGUUAUAAAGAUGAAUCCUCAAGAGAAUGAUAUGUUCUUCAAUGUCAUUGCUAUUGUUGAUCCAUUAACAAGAGAAGCACAGAAAAUGGCACAGUUGUUGGUUGUACUUGGCAAGAUUAUCAACAUGAAGAUAAAGUUGUUCAUGAACUGUAGGGGCAGGCUUUCAGAAGCCCCUUUACAGAGCUUUUACCGUUUUGUUCUGGAACCAGAACUGAUGUCAGGGGCUAAUGACGUUUCUUCUCUUGGACCAGUGGCAAAAUUUUUGGAUAUUCCUGAAUCACCCCUCCUAAUCCUCAACAUGAUUACUCCAGAAGGCUGGUUGGUUGAAACAGUACACAGCAACUGUGACCUUGAUAAUAUUCACUUAAAGGAUACUGAGAAAACUGUUACAGCAGAAUAUGAGCUAGAAUACUUACUACUGGAAGGACAAUGCUUUGAUAAAGUGACAGAACAGCCUCCUCAGGGUCUGCAGUUCACACUAGGCACAAAAAAUAAACCUGUUGUGGUUGAUACAAUAGUGAUGGCCAAUCAUGUAAGUAUUAUUUAAUUGAUGAUAUUUAAUUUGAUGUUUUGGUGAAAUUCUCUGUUUUCUUAAGAGUAAAGUGAAAUAAUCUUUAUUCUGCUGUUGCUGAACAGUUUGCAGAAAACAAAAUUGAAUCUUUGAAUAAGAUAAAUAAAACAAAAAUGGGGAAAAUCAUACUUUAAUAAUAUUUUUAACAGGUUAUUGUAAAAUCUCUUGGAAUUGAUUUAUAGAAUUUAUUCAUUCUACAGUUAGUAAAUACUUUCUUGGAUCAUUCAUAUAUUCAUGAGCAGUUUGAUGGUUUUUAGUCAUAUUACUCAAUGAUUAUUUUUUUCUCAUCUUAAAAGGGGUAUUUUCAAUUAAAAGCAAAUCCAGGUGCUUGGAUACUGAGGUUACACCAAGGAAAAUCUGAAGAUAUUUAUCAAAUAGUUGGGUGAGUUAUGCAGACUGCUUUUAAAUUUUUACACAUAAAUACGUUUUUAGUGUAAUACAACCAAGAUAAUCAAAACAACAAUUAAAAUGUUAAGAUUGGCCUGGCGCAGUGGCUCAAGCCUGUAAUCCCAACAGUUUGGUAGGCCGAGGCAGGCAGAUCACGAGGCCAGGAGUUCAAGACCUGCCUGGCCAACGUGGCAAAACCCCGUCUGUACUAAAAAUACAAAAAUUUGCCAGGCAUAGUGGCGCACACCUGUAACUUCAGCUAUUCAGGAGGCUGAGGCCCAAGAAUUGCUUGAAUCUUUGGGAGGCAGAGGCUGCAGUGAGCAGAGACUGCACCACUGCACUCCAGCCCGGAACAGAGAGCAAGACUCUGUCUC